UGGCUCAGGACGAACGCUGGCGGCGUGCCUAAUACAUGCAAGUCGAACGGUCUUUCUAUGGAAGCUUGCUUCCACUGAGAAGAUAGUGGCGAACGGGUGAGUAACACGUGGGUAACCUGCCCAUAAGAGGGGGAUAACAUCCGGAAACGGGUGCUAAUACCGCAUAGUUUUCUUGAUCGCAUGAUCGGGAAAGGAAAGACGGCCUUUGUGCUGUCGCUUAUGGAUGGACCCGCGGCGUAUUAGUUAGUUGGUGAGGUAACGGCUCACCAAGACGAUGAUACGUAGCCGACCUGAGAGGGUGAUCGGCCACAUUGGGACUGAGACACGGCCCAAACUCCUACGGGAGGCAGCAGUAGGGAAUCUUCCGCAAUGGACGAAAGUCUGACGGAGCAACGCCGUGUGAGUGAAGAAGGUUUUUCCGGAUCGUAAAACUCUGUUGUCAGAGAAGAACAAGUUGGAGAGUAACUGCUCCAGCCUUGACGGUAUCUGACCAGAAAGCCACGGCUAACUACGUGCCAGCAGCUGC
This 526-nucleotide ribosomal RNA is filed under the name uncultured bacterium. RNAcentral describes it as "bacterial SSU rRNA". It matches the Rfam family "Bacterial small subunit ribosomal RNA", at positions 20 to 518 of the family's 1533-position model. The record is from RNAcentral.